Molecule: unclassified non-coding RNA, 2554 nt
Filed under: Leishmania donovani
Lineage: Eukaryota; Euglenozoa; Kinetoplastea; Trypanosomatida; Trypanosomatidae
Description: gene:LdHU3.27.0120(CDS-product:cytochrome_p450-li ke_protein)
Source: RNAcentral
UUGGCUUGCGGGCCGCUCACAACCACAUAAUUGCAUCAGUACCUUUUUUAAUCCUUUUCUUCUUUCUCUGUGCAUCCUUCGGCUUCGCUUUUCUCCUCCGCUCUGUUCAUCUGCCCUUCCUUUUGUUUUUCGUUUCCAUUUGGCGCCUUUUCUGCGUGGUUGCGCCCACAACCCACAGCUCAGAGCACAUAGUAACUGAUCGCCACGAAAGCCACGGCGAACGCGGCUUCUCGUGUUUCUUUCCCCACACUCUGAAGACCUGCGUUGCGACUUACCUUCUACGUGUGUCUCUCUGUUUGUGAUCUCCUGCGCUCAUGUAGGCCCUGACCACUAAGGAACCCGCUUUUUUUUGACCUUGCUGCAAACGCAUCACCACUUCCUUCCCCGCAUUUCCGCUUGCCACGCGAGCGUGCCCACCGACACCGACAGGCCUGCCCUCGGCUCGCGCUCAGCCACAAAGCACCACCGCGUCUCGUCGGAUUUCACAGCUAUAGCAGUCACAGACAAUCAAAACAAUACAGCGGACGAGGAGAGAGGGUGCUGCAGCUUCUCCUGUCGCCCAUUUCACAUGGUGCUUGACUCCCACUUUUUUUGUGAACUGUUCUCAGAUGGCCGCGAACGCGCUUCAUAGCCACAUCGUGGCUGCGCUCCACAACGCAGCCACGAAGUUGCCCUCCUCGGUGCAGCCAUACGCAAUGCUGCUGACGCGCGAGGACAUGGUCUCAACCACCUUGGCAACUGCCAUUGCGACGGCUGUCAUUCUGUACACCGUCAUCACUGUCGUGCUACCCGUGCUGCGCAUGGACUUUUAUCUUUCGAAGCUGCCGACCAUUAAGAAUGGCAUUCCAUUUCUGGGGCAUGCCCUGUUGCUGGCGGGCCCCUCCCCGUGGUCGAAAAUGUCGAACUGGAGUCUGUAUCCCGAGAAGAACCUGCCACAAAAGAAGAAGAGUGCCGACGGCCCUCAGACAAGCCGCCUGGUGACCUACAACGUUGCCGGCAUGCGGGUCAUUUACAUCAACGAGCCCCGCCUACUGCGCCGUGUCCUACUCACGCACCAGCGCAACUACCGCAAAGCGCUUGCGGCAGCGUACAAACACUUCAUGUGUCUCCUCGGCACCGGCCUGGUCACCUCGGAGGACGAGCAGUGGAAGAAGGGACGCCUGCUGCUGUCGCAUGCGAUGCGCAUCGACAUUCUGGACAGCGUCCCAGAAAUGGCUAUGAAGGCGGUCGACCGCAUUUUGUUGAAGCUCGACGCGGUUGACGCGAAGAACCCGUCCGUGGACCUGAACGAGGAGUACCGCCACAUGACACUGCAGGUGAUCAGCGAGAGUGCGCUGUCACUCUCCGCCGAAGAGUCCGACCGCAUCUUUCCGGCUCUCUACUUGCCUAUUGUGCACGAGUGCAACAAGCGUGUGUGGGCACCGUGGCGUGCCUACAUGCCAUUCCUGCAAGGCUCGCGCGUGCGUAACCACUGCCUCUCCGAGCUGAACAAGGUGCUGAGAAACAUCAUCUGCCGUCGAUGGGAGCAGCGCAAUGACUCCAACUGCACAGGGAAACCCGACAUUCUGGCGCUGUGCAUUUCGCAGAUCGAUCGCAUGGACGAAAAGAUGAUUGUGGGGCUCAUUGACGAUGUAAAGACAAUCUUGCUCGCCGGCCACGAAACGUCAGCCGCGCUGCUGACGUUUGCGACCUACGAGGUCCUGCGCCACCCUGAGAUCCGCCAGAAGAUCUUGGAGGAGGCCACGCGCCUCUUCGAUCCUGCCCGUUGCACGCGCACCGUGCAGACUCGCUACGGCCCUCGCGGUGUGCCAGCGGUGAAUGACGUGCGAGACCUGGUGUGGACGCCUGCAGUGCUGCGCGAGACGCUGCGGCGGCACAGCGUUGUGCCGCUGGUGAUGCGGUACGCGGCGAAGGACGACGUCUGGCCUGCGGCAGACACUGGCCUCGACGCCGACGUCCGCAUCCCCGCUGGCUGCACGAUCGCUGUUGGCAUCGAGGGUGUGCACAACAAUCCUGAUGUGUGGAACAAGCCAGAAGUCUUCGACCCGACCCGGUUUAUUGAUGCCGAGAUUGCCAACGAUACAAACUAUCUGAACCAAAGCACGAAGGAUGUGAAGUUCGCCAAGAAAAUCGACCCAUACGCUUUUAUUCCCUUCAUCAACGGCCCCCGCAACUGCCUUGGGCAGCAUCUCUCCAUGAUCGAGACGCAAGUCGCCUUGGCGUACAUGGUGCUGAACUAUGACCUAACGAUUUACCGCGACCCUUCGUACAAGGGUGACGCUGCGGCGUACGAGGACGCUGUCGGGCGCCACCACGACUUCAUCAUUCCGCAGGUUCCGCACGACGGGCUGAAGGUGUGGGGCACACCGAACAAGUUGUUCAUGUAAAGCGAACUGAGAAUGGCCUCCACCCGCGGAAGAGAGAGGGGUGGGUGAAAAGAAAAGGACAGCGCUCCGCCGCACGCCACAUAUACGCCUAUACGCACACGUUUUCCUCUCCAACAACCCUCCCUCCCACAUACAUCUCUGCUUCCUCGGCGCCGCACGCCCGAUAG